GGUGAUGUAGCUCAGUGGCAGAGUGUUUGCCUAGCAAGGCCCUGGGUUCAAUCCCCAGUAUCACAA
RNAcentral lists this transfer RNA (66 nucleotides) under Marmota marmota marmota (Alpine marmot). It matches the Rfam family "tRNA". From Rfam's summary of the family: Transfer RNA (tRNA) molecules are approximately 80 nucleotides in length. Their secondary structure includes four short double-helical elements and three loops (D, anti-codon, and T loops). Lineage: Eukaryota; Metazoa; Chordata; Mammalia; Rodentia; Sciuridae. RNAcentral also lists the same sequence under 2 other names. The record is from Rfam by way of RNAcentral.